Molecule: long non-coding RNA, 1841 nt
Organism: Chinchilla lanigera (long-tailed chinchilla)
Lineage: Eukaryota; Metazoa; Chordata; Mammalia; Rodentia; Chinchillidae
Exons: 3
Source: RefSeq, a predicted model, not a curated record
UCCACUGUGACAGCGGGAGCAUGAUGGGGGCGACGUCCUCUGAUGAACUCCCCUCUGGUUUAGGCCACCGUGAUAGAUGCAUAAACUCCGAAUCUGCUCCUCUGACCUCCUGGCCUGAUCAUCAGGACAGAUGCAUCACUUGGGAACAUAGGAGAAAUGCCGGCUCUCUGGUCUCAAGUCCCACCUCCUGGGUCACAGUUUUAAUACAGGUGCUGCCAAGUGAGCAGAAAAGAAAAAUAAAUGUUCCCAGCCUCUGUGACGGAACCCAGGGCCUUGUGCAUUCUUAGUAAGUGCUUUAUCAUUGAGCUGCACUUCCACUCCUUACUUGGAUUAUUUUAAACACCUUAAUUUCCCAUAUAUCUCACCACUUGUUUUCUUCGGGGCCUCACACGUUUGCUAUGUUCUCCAGCCUGAGUUUCUUGCCCCUGACCAUGCACAAGUUUUCAGGUGCUCUGAGCUUCCGUGGGCUACAGCGCCAGCCAUACCCUUCAGUGGCCGCCAACCUGUGCCCUGGAACCCGUGCCACGGCUCUAGUCAGCUCCUGGGGUCAGAAAGACAGAAACCAGCGUCUGUGAGAACAACAGCCCAUGCUGAGUGCUGCGGCAAAGGGGAAAGCUUUGCCUUUGUGUCCCAUUCUGAAGGAGGGCAGGGCAGUGGGGCGACCUCCUCCCUCCCAUACCAGAGCUCUAGAAACCUGCUUCGGUGUGUAUAUUGCUGCACAUCUGCUGCUUGCCCCAGGGAGUUCCCAGUUUCCAUUCGAGACCUUCUCCUGGACCUGCCUCAUCACCAUCCUGCUGACUUCACUCCUGAGCCUCUGAGCAUAUUUAAGUCCGGGUUAAGUCUUUGUCUAGCAAGUCCCCUGCUUGGGCUCCCUCAGGCAAGACACAUGGCCCUAUUUUGUCCCUGUGAAUAGGUAGGUCCUACAUGUCUGCCUCUGUACACAUCUUAUGAUUUUGAUGUUGCUACUGCUGUUGAAAUCAAGCAUGUUUAAAAACUGCAUGUUUAAAAACUGGAAAAUAAAUAUUUAUAAGUAUUAUAAUGUGGUAAUUAUGAUAGUAAUUUUUCCUCUGCUAUUUUUUCCUUUAAAAUAAAUUGAAAGUUGUAAUAGUCCAUAACUUGCUCCAAUCGUUUCUGCAGAGGAUGUAUUAUUUAUCCUGUGCAAUCACUGAGGAUUCUGUCUGUUGGUCUGUGUCCAGGCAGAGUCUGACAGAUACUUUUCUGAACAACAUGAGUUGCACAGUCAAACUAAACUGCCAAGAGCGCUGCCCCCUGUCUGCGCAUGUGCUGGGGAUCGUGAAUAUGCAGCCAGGUUUGCCCUGAUCCUUGAGAUCACCACAAAGUGAGGGUUUAAAUUUUUCUCACAUCUGUCUAAGCCUGGGCUUUACCUGGGCAUGUGGGUGAAUUUCUUCAUUACUCAGUAGACCAGUGUUCUGAGUUCCCCAACUUCCUGAAGUAAUUCCUUCCUUAGCUUUUCUUCUCAGACUUUAUUUGUCUAUCUUUUGUGUCAACAAUAAUGUGUUGCUUUUGUACCUUAAAACGUCUGGAACCACUCUGCUUUCCUGCCUGCACUCUUUCUCAGUUAGGAAACCGGAGCACUGUGUGAGACAUUCCGCACCUACAGAGAACUCGUCCACCAACACAGUUACUAAAUAAGGUUCUGCUAGGUCCCGUCAAAAGCUAGGGACCGGAAGCCCAGGGCCCUGAGAACACCACCUAUGAUCAUGAAGCCUUCUACAGGAUCUGUGAAGGGUCAAGUAAGCAAAGACAUUAUUUACUAAAGACCCCUACAUAUUUUCCACUUUCUCACACCUGAUUUGGGCUAAAAUAUAUACACAAACAAA